GCUCUGGUGGCCUAGUGGUUAAGAGUGUCUGCCUCAGAUGCAGGAGGGCAUGGGUUCAAGUCCUGGUCAAGUCA
Molecule: non-coding RNA, 74 nt
Organism: Potamilus streckersoni
Lineage: Eukaryota; Metazoa; Mollusca; Bivalvia; Unionida; Unionidae
Source: the annotation of a GenBank genome assembly